UCCGGUUUGUCACCGGCAGUCUCAUUAGAGUGCCCAACUGAAUGUAGCAACUAAUGACAAGGGUUGCGCUCGUUGCGGGACUUAACCCAACAUCUCACGACACGAGCUGACGACAGCCAUGCAGCACCUGUGUUCCCGUUCCCUUUCGGGCACACCCCCAUCUCUGGGGGCUUCCGUACAUGUCAAGGGUAGGUAAGGUUUUUCGCGUUGCAUCGAAUUAAACCACAUAAUCCACCGCUUGUGCGGGCCCCCGUCAAUUUGUUUGAGUUUUAGCCUUGCGGCCGUACUUCCCAGGCGGAGCACUUAAUGCGUUAGCUACGUCACCGGGGGAGUCAAUACCCCCAAUAACUAGUGCUCAUCGUUUACGGCGUGGACUAC
Molecule: unclassified non-coding RNA, 378 nt
Filed under: uncultured bacterium
Lineage: Bacteria
Description: contains 16S-23S intergenic spacer region
Source: RNAcentral